Molecule: long non-coding RNA, 493 nt
Organism: Triticum dicoccoides
Lineage: Eukaryota; Viridiplantae; Streptophyta; Magnoliopsida; Poales; Poaceae
Exons: 2
Source: RefSeq, a predicted model, not a curated record
GGGUCCCGGCAGCCGACAAAUCUCUCCUUUCCCAUCACCGGUCGCGGACUAUGAGUCCCACCGGGAACGGGAGGCCCGCUGUGGGAAGGAGAGGAUAAGGGCCGUCGAGGUCCGUAUCAGGGCGGAAAUGGCGGCGGCGGAGGCGGCUGAUGCGGCGGGUGCGCCCGCAUUAUGAAAAAAUGCAAGCGGAGGAACACACGCCGUCCUCGCCUGAUAGCAGAAUCGGGUGGUCCGUGCCAUGGUUGGACUACCACCGAAGGAGGAGAAGGAGGAACUCCGGCGACGAGCACAUCUGGCUCGAUCCCUACUGUGUCUUCUACCGGUGUGGAAGCCAGUGGCUUGGAGGCAAAACUAGCAGGCGAUGGAGCCGACGAUUUGUAGUUGUACAUUUCCUUGUCCCGUGGGGGACUCUGUAGCAUGACUACGGUACCUUCAUUAUGUUGUUAUUCAGAAAUUGUUCUCUUAAGCUACCCUUGCCCUUUCCGCUUUUCUA